AGCUCCAAUAGCGUAUAUUAAAGUUGUUGCAGUUAAAAAGCUCGUAGUUGGAUUUCUGUUUCGAACGUCCAGUUUCCGCUUUGCGUGUUACCAGGAUGUUAGAGACAUUUUUUGUGAGGAGGUCCUUCUGCCAUUCAGUUGGUGGUCGGUUCGACUUGCAUCGUUUACUGUGAAAAAAUUAGAGUGUUUAAAGCAGGCGUUUGCUCAUUGAAUACAUUAGCAUGGAAUAAUAAGAUACGACCUUGGUGGUCUAUUUUGUUGGUUUGCACACCAGGGUAAUGAUUAAUAGGGACAGUUGGGGGUAUUCAUAUUUCAGCGUCAGAGGUGAAAUUCUUGGAUCGCUGAAAGAUGAGCUUAGGCGAAAGCAUUUACCAAGGAUGUUUUCA
This 386-nucleotide ribosomal RNA is filed under the name uncultured eukaryote. RNAcentral's name for it is "SSU rRNA". It matches the Rfam family "Eukaryotic small subunit ribosomal RNA", at positions 587 to 972 of the family's 1831-position model. The record is from RNAcentral.